This 255-nucleotide ribosomal RNA is filed under the name uncultured bacterium. Its description in RNAcentral is "partial 16S ribosomal RNA". It matches the Rfam family "Bacterial small subunit ribosomal RNA", at positions 57 to 305 of the family's 1533-position model. The record is from RNAcentral.
GCAAGUCGAACGAGAACGGGUUAUAGUUUACUAUAACUGUCAGCUAAGUGGCGCACGGGUGAGUAAUAUAUAGGUAACGUGCCCUAGAGAGGGGGAUAACAUUUGGAAACGAACGCUAAUACCCUAUAUGCCUUUAAAACAUAAGUUUGCAAGGGAAAUAUUUAUAGCUCUAGGAUCGGCCUGUACGGUAUCAGCUAGUUGGUGAGGUAAUGGCUCACCAAGGCAAUGACGCCUAACUGGUUUGAGAGGAUGAUC